RNAcentral lists this ribosomal RNA (391 nucleotides) under Clavispora lusitaniae. RNAcentral's name for it is "eukaryotic LSU rRNA". The stretch from base 104 to 253 matches the Rfam family "5.8S ribosomal RNA". Lineage: Eukaryota; Fungi; Ascomycota; Pichiomycetes; Serinales; Metschnikowiaceae. The record is from RNAcentral.
CCCUUCCGUAGGGGGACCUGCGGAAGGAUCAUUAAAAAAUACAUUACACAUUGUUUUUGCGAACAAAAAAAUAAAUUUUUUUAUUCGAAUUUCUUAAUAUCAAAACUUUCAACAACGGAUCUCUUGGUUCUCGCAUCGAUGAAGAACGCAGCGAAUUGCGAUACGUAGUAUGACUUGCAGACGUGAAUCAUCGAAUCUUUGAACGCACAUUGCGCCUCGAGGCAUUCCUCGAGGCAUGCCUGUUUGAGCGUCGCAUCCCCUCUAACCCCCGGUUAGGCGUUGCUCCGAAAUAUCAACCGCGCUGUCAAACACGUUUACAGCACGACAUUUCGCCCUCAAAUCAGGUAGGACUACCCGCUGAACUUAAGCAUAUCAAAAGGCGGAGGAAAAG